AACAACAAAAAAUGCAAAAAGAAAAGGUGAAAGCUCCGAUUUACCUUCAGCCUUCUCGGAUCGCCGAAUCGCCUUUUGUUUCGCGAGAGCUCGUUUUUUUUUCGUGAUGGAGAAAGAAAAGGCAAAAUGAUUCUUUGUUUUCUCUCACGUGCAAGACACGCCCCCUCCGCCCCUAUCACCGGUUGCCACGCGUCUAAGGAUUAAGUCCUUAAACGCCUUAAUUAGGGACUCUUUCUUAGCUAAAGUAAACAUUAUAUUAGUAUAAUACUCAAAUUUACCUAGGUUGGACCGCUAAGUUUCUCUCAUGUUCCCGCGUUGGACGUGCUCUUACAGGUUUUUGUUUCGUUGGCCUGUUACUUUCUUUUGUCAAGCCCAUCCCAUGCCGUAUCAACUUGGUCAUGAUGAAACGCCGCAUUUUCUUUAAGAGUUAGCAUGAGGUAGUCUUCGCAUCUCCAGAGCCAAACGGCGACUUCGGUUGUGCGGCGGAUCUUUCAUAUUCUUCCUUACGAUAACCGAUCUAUCAUCUUUAAACGCUUCAUUAAUCGAUCACCCACGACCUAGAUUCAAUGCGACUUUUUUGUUAUGCAAGGCGUGGAGUUGGACUAUAAAAAAGUCAUCACUUCGAAAACCCAUAAUUCGUUCUUAUCAAGCCGACUGCUCGGUCUCGGCUCCUCUCUCCUCAUGGACGGAACCUUCCUCAUGCUUCACUCCAAGCUGUUUGAUCAAGGAAGCUUUAUUGUGUUUGGCUGGAGACGUCGGAGAAAAAGGCCAUCGGAAGAAUAUUCUCAGUAUGGAAGUUUUCGCCGGAGAAGGAGAAACACUGGAAUGCAGCAGACUCGAUCAGCCAUAUCUCAAUUGUUUACCGGUUAGGACCCAUCUUUGGGUUGCUUUGUUUCCAUCUCUGAAGGACUUAUCAGUCCAUGGCUGUCAAGAAACUCCUCACGUUCCUGAACUGGAUUUAACCCAUACCCAAAGCCAAUGAAAUGGAGUCUGGAAUCAUGUGGAGCCAUCGGAGAAACAUAGUUCUUUUGUUUGUGUCUUUAGAAUCUUGGAGAGAUUGAGCUUAGGACAUGUAGAAGUAUAUUAUUGAUAAAGAAAAACAACCCAAUGAACUUUUUUCCUGAGUGUUAAGGUAAGCUUUUCAUUGCUGAUACAUGAAUGAAUGAUUUGCUUUUAACCAUGACUAUGUUUUGAAUAUAUAUAUUUUUUUUGUUUUAAUCCAUAUAAUCAGAUAAUAAAGCUGUGAAAAAUGUUUCAAGCGGUUAUGGUUUUGAAUAUGACUCAGAUAUGUACAUGUAUAUAAUAGUUGUCACUUUUAAACUUCGAGUUGAUUGGAUUUGAUGAAUCAUAGCGACUCAUUUCUGUUUGAUUUCAGGGAACUUCUCUGGAUGGGCAUGUUUUAAUGUUAAAUUUUCUGAACAAAAAUGGGGGGAGACGGUUGGGAAAGGUUCAGACAAUUAUCAACAAAAGUACGUGUGAAAAAUGUAGCUGUUGAGGGAACGGAGAAAGAACUAAGACAGUCAGUCAAUUUGGCAGAGUUGAAUAUAGACUAGCUAAUGGUCAUGUAGAGCAUUCUCCUGAAUUCUUCUAUGAUGGUUCUAUGUUGAAGAUUAGUAUUCAGGCGUUUAAUGAUGAAGAUACUCAAGGACACCGAACUAUUGGUUUGUUUCUUCACCUUCGUGAAGCAGAGAUAACAGACUCAAUAAGGACAAAACAUGAUGAUCCAUUUCAAAGAGGGUCUCAGUCUUCCAAAGAGGGCAGUAUACAGGUUACGGUUUUUAAAUAUUAUAUAUCAAUCUCAGGUAAACUGGCUCGAAAAAAAAACAAGUCUAAUUUGAUAUCUGGUUUGGUGUUAGUUUCAUGUUUCUCGAUCAAUAAAAUUCAAAGAAUUUAAAAUAUAUUUCAGUGCAUUUGAGAGAGUUUAAGUUUUAGUAAACAUUAUAUAAACAAAGAAAAAAUCUUAACAUAUCUCCACAUUCAAAAUAAGAUCAAUUUGUAAUCACAUUAAUCUCCUUCAACCACCGAUGAAAAUGUUCAGAAGCAAACGAGGAUGACGAUGAAAACGUGUUACUACUAAACAAAAGCUAACUGGAUUUCACUCUCUGUGUCCACUUAGCUUAAAAGUUUUACAAGGAGGAGACACUUGGCAAGCUCCCAUCUUCUCCAAUCAGAAACCACAAGUUUGAACUUGAAUUCUUAAGCGUCAAAGGGUCAAACAGAGAAAAAUCAAAACCAACUUUGGUGAAAAUGAUGAACGAAAGAUAGUUUUGAACAUACAACAAGCCUGAACCUGAUUUGUAAGGUAGUAAAGGAUCAGACAGAUCAAAACCUUCACUCUUGGGAAGAAAAAGAUCGACACUUUUAUUGUUGAAACAGACCGAAUUCUUACAAUAAAGAAGAUGAGACUAAGAGAGGGUUCUCUCUGAGUGGCUGGAACGAGAGAACCUA
Molecule: long non-coding RNA, 2448 nt
Organism: Brassica napus (rape)
Lineage: Eukaryota; Viridiplantae; Streptophyta; Magnoliopsida; Brassicales; Brassicaceae
Exons: 5
Source: RefSeq, a predicted model, not a curated record